UGGGGAAUUUUGGACAAUGGGGGAAACCCUGAUCCAGCCAUCCCGCGUGUGCGAUGAAGGCCUUCGGGUUGUAAAGCACUUUUGGCAGGAAAGAAACGUCAUGGGUUAAUACCCCGUGAAACUGACGGUACCUGCAGAAUAAGCACCGGCUAACUACGUGCCAGCAGCCGCGGUAAUACGUAGGGUGCAAGCGUUAAUCGGAAUUACUGGGCGUAAAGCGUGCGCAGGCGGUUCGGAAAGAAAGAUGUGAAAUCCCAGAGCUCAACUUUGGAACUGCAUUUUUAACUACCGGGCUAGAGUGUGUGAGAGGGAGGUGGAAUUCCGCGUGUAGCAGUGAAAUGCGUAGAUAUGCGGAGGAACACCGAUGGAGAAGGCAGCCUCCUGGGAUAACACUGACGGUCAGGCACGAAAGCGUGGGGAGCAAACAGG
Molecule: ribosomal RNA, 429 nt
Filed under: Acidobacteriota bacterium
Lineage: Bacteria; Pseudomonadati; Acidobacteriota
Description: Acidobacteria bacterium partial 16S ribosomal RNA
Rfam family: Bacterial small subunit ribosomal RNA
Source: RNAcentral